This 1545-nucleotide ribosomal RNA is filed under the name Staphylococcus aureus. Its description in RNAcentral is "partial 16S ribosomal RNA". It matches the Rfam family "Bacterial small subunit ribosomal RNA". The record is from RNAcentral. Lineage: Bacteria; Bacillati; Bacillota; Bacilli; Caryophanales; Staphylococcaceae.
AGUUUGAUCCUGGCUCAGGAUGAACGCUGGCGGCGUGCCUAAUACAUGCAAGUCGAGCGAACGGACGAGAAGCUUGCUUCUCUGAUGUUAGCGGCGGACGGGUGAGUAACACGUGGAUAACCUACCUAUAAGACUGGGAUAACUUCGGGAAACCGGAGCUAAUACCGGAUAAUAUUUUGAACCGCAUGGUUCAAAAGUGAAAGACGGUCUUGCUGUCACUUAUAGAUGGAUCCGCGCUGCAUUAGCUAGUUGGUAAGGUAACGGCUUACCAAGGCAACGAUGCAUAGCCGACCUGAGAGGGUGAUCGGCCACACUGGAACUGAGACACGGUCCAGACUCCUACGGGAGGCAGCAGUAGGGAAUCUUCCGCAAUGGGCGAAAGCCUGACGGAGCAACGCCGCGUGAGUGAUGAAGGUCUUCGGAUCGUAAAACUCUGUUAUUAGGGAAGAACAUAUGUGUAAGUAACUGUGCACAUCUUGACGGUACCUAAUCAGAAAGCCACGGCUAACUACGUGCCAGCAGCCGCGGUAAUACGUAGGUGGCAAGCGUUAUCCGGAAUUAUUGGGCGUAAAGCGCGCGUAGGCGGUUUUUUAAGUCUGAUGUGAAAGCCCACGGCUCAACCGUGGAGGGUCAUUGGAAACUGGAAAACUUGAGUGCAGAAGAGGAAAGUGGAAUUCCAUGUGUAGCGGUGAAAUGCGCAGAGAUAUGGAGGAACACCAGUGGCGAAGGCGACUUUCUGGUCUGUAACUGACGCUGAUGUGCGAAAGCGUGGGGAUCAAACAGGAUUAGAUACCCUGGUAGUCCACGCCGUAAACGAUGAGUGCUAAGUGUUAGGGGGUUUCCGCCCCUUAGUGCUGCAGCUAACGCAUUAAGCACUCCGCCUGGGGAGUACGACCGCAAGGUUGAAACUCAAAGGAAUUGACGGGGACCCGCACAAGCGGUGGAGCAUGUGGUUUAAUUCGAAGCAACGCGAAGAACCUUACCAAAUCUUGACAUCCUUUGACAACUCUAGAGAUAGAGCCUUCCCCUUCGGGGGACAAAGUGACAGGUGGUGCAUGGUUGUCGUCAGCUCGUGUCGUGAGAUGUUGGGUUAAGUCCCGCAACGAGCGCAACCCUUAAGCUUAGUUGCCAUCAUUAAGUUGGGCACUCUAAGUUGACUGCCGGUGACAAACCGGAGGAAGGUGGGGAUGACGUCAAAUCAUCAUGCCCCUUAUGAUUUGGGCUACACACGUGCUACAAUGGACAAUACAAAGGGCAGCGAAACCGCGAGGUCAAGCAAAUCCCAUAAAGUUGUUCUCAGUUCGGAUUGUAGUCUGCAACUCGACUACAUGAAGCUGGAAUCGCUAGUAAUCGUAGAUCAGCAUGCUACGGUGAAUACGUUCCCGGGUCUUGUACACACCGCCCGUCACACCACGAGAGUUUGUAACACCCGAAGCCGGUGGAGUAACCUUUUAGGAGCUAGCCGUCGAAGGUGGGACAAAUGAUUGGGGUGAAGUCGUAACAAGGUAGCCGUAUCGGAAGGUGCGGCUGGAUCACCUCCUUUCU